UACAUCACCACUACAAAUACUAUGAAUUUGAUUAUAUUGCUGCACUAGUGGAUGUCCACAGUCUAAUACCAACCCCACCCUUGGCUUUCCAGAGAUGGUUAUACUAGUUUCCUGGGACCACGGUUGGGGAACAACACAUUUUUCAAUAUGAAGGAGACAUGAUGAGUCUCAUGGAUGUUCCCCGGGACCACGAUGUGACUUGAGGGCUGCCAUAAGGAGAAAAUGUUUUUUGUUUUGUUAUUUUGGACCAACUUUACUUGUGCUAAAUAAACUGAAGUUCCUUAUAGUACUAUAAAAUCAACAAAUUGUACUUCUAUGUGCUAAAAUGACCCCACUUAAAGUAUACUAGGUGUAGUUGUAAGACAUUAUUAGAGAUGUCUUAUAUACACUUACAACGUAGAGACAUGGAGAGCUACUUGCAAAUAGUAUGAAAUACAGAAGUGUCACUAGAUUAUCCCAUGUGCACUUCAGCUUUGGUGUACUCUUUCAGUACUUCAAUACAGACUUUCAUCA
Oncorhynchus mykiss (rainbow trout) is the source of this 513-nucleotide non-coding RNA. Lineage: Eukaryota; Metazoa; Chordata; Actinopteri; Salmoniformes; Salmonidae. The record is from RefSeq and is a predicted model, not a curated record.